UAACAGAUCCAGCUUGCUGGAUGCUGACGAGCGGCGGACGGGUGAGUAAUGCAUAGGAAUCUGCCCGAUAGUGGGGGAUAACCUGGGGAAACCCAGGCUAAUACCGCAUACGUCCUACGGGAGAAAGGGGGCUUCGGCUCCCGCUAUCGGAUGAGCCUAUGUCGGAUUAGCUAGUUGGUGAGGUAACGGCUCACCAAGGCCACGAUCCGUAGCUGGUCUGAGAGGAUGAUCAGCCACAUCGGGACUGAGACACGGCCCGAACUCCUACGGGAGGCAGCAGUGGGGAAUAUUGGACAAUGGGGGGAACCCUGAUCCAGCCAUGCCGCGUGUGUGAAGAAGGCCCUCGGGUUGUAAAGCACUUUCAGCGAGGAAGAACGCCUAGCGGUUAAUACCCGCUAGGAAAGACAUCACUCGCAGAAGAAGCACCGGCUAACUCCGUGCCAGCAGCCGCGGUAAUACGGAGGGUGCAAGCGUUAAUCGGAAUUACUGGGCGUAAAGCGCGCGUAGGUGGCUUGAUAAGCCGGUUGUGAAAGCCCCGGGCUCAACCUGGGAACGGCAUCCGGAACUGUCAAGCUAGAGUGCAGGAGAGGAAGGUAGAAUUCCCGGUGUAGCGGUGAAAUGCGUAGAGAUCGGGAGGAAUACCAGUGGCGAAGGCGGCCUUCUGGACUGACACUGACACUGAGGUGCGAAAGCGUGGGUAGCAAACAGGAUUAGAUACCCUGGUAGUCCACGCCGUAAACGAUGUCGACCAGCCGUUGGGUGCCUAGCGCACUUUGUGGCGAAGUUAACGCGAUAAGUCGACCGCCUGGGGAGUACGGCCGCAAGGUUAAAACUCAAAUGAAUUGACGGGGGCCCGCACAAGCGGUGGAGCAUGUGGUUUAAUUCGAUGCAACGCGAAGAACCUUACCUACUCUUGACAUCCUGCGAAUUCGGUAGAGAUACCUUAGUGCCUUCGGGAACGCAGAGACAGGUGCUGCAUGGCUGUCGUCAGCUCGUGUUGUGAAAUGUUGGGUUAAGUCCCGUAACGAGCGCAACCCUUGUCCUUAUUUGCCAGCGCGUAAUGGCAGGAACUCUAAGGAGACUGCCGGUGACAAACCGGAGGAAGGUGGGGACGACGUCAAGUCAUCAUGGCCCUUACGAGUAGGGCUACACACGUGCUACAAUGGUCGGUACAAAGGGUUGCCAACU
This 1188-nucleotide ribosomal RNA is filed under the name uncultured bacterium. RNAcentral's name for it is "bacterial SSU rRNA". It matches the Rfam family "Bacterial small subunit ribosomal RNA", at positions 70 to 1255 of the family's 1533-position model. The record is from RNAcentral.